This is a long non-coding RNA of Rhinolophus ferrumequinum (greater horseshoe bat), 713 nucleotides long. RefSeq lists it as uncharacterized. The transcript is spliced from 4 exons. The record is from RefSeq and is a predicted model, not a curated record. Lineage: Eukaryota; Metazoa; Chordata; Mammalia; Chiroptera; Rhinolophidae.
GGAGGAAACAGAAGCCCAGAGAGAGAAGAGGGAGCGUGCCUGCUGGUGGCCAGUAUUACACAAGGUCCUUAAUAGACUUCCCUCAUCUGUGAGUUGUCUUCCUCUGACAUUACUCCAGUAGAAGAAGGGGAUGGGUAGGAAAUCCAGCUCCUCAUUAGGCCUCCAGUGAUACCUCCGUGGCUUGGAGAGCUCCAACUCUGGAACACAGGAGGAAAAAAGAAAACCCAGGAACUUACUACUAUGCUGUUUCUUGGGUCUUCAGGUCCCUAGUAAAUGGCACUAUGACCAAGAAUGUUCCCAGAAACAUGGUGCGCAAGAGCUGAACGCUGGAAACAACACACACGUCCACCAGCAGGAGAAAGACUCAACAGACUGCGAUGUCUUCAUGCCAGGGAAUAUUAUACAGCAAUGAGAUUACAACAGCUCCAGCUGUAGCCACCACAUGGAGGAGUCUGAGACACAUUAUGCUGCGUGCAAGAAGCAAGUUUCAGAAAGUUGCAGACUGUGUGAUGCCAUUUAAAAGAAACUAAAACAAAAGCAAAACUAAACAAUAGGUGGUGUAAGCACACACACACAAGAUAAAAAUGUUUAAGAAAAAAAGGCACAUGGGAAUUCUCUGUACUUUCUGCUCAAUUUUGCUGGGAACCUAAAACUGCUCUAAAAAUACAGUCUAUAGGGAAAAGAAGCAAGGAAAUGAUAAACACAGGAUGGUU